Aedes aegypti (yellow fever mosquito) is the source of this 311-nucleotide long non-coding RNA. RefSeq lists it as uncharacterized. The transcript is spliced from 2 exons. The record is from RefSeq and is a predicted model, not a curated record. NCBI's taxonomy places the organism in Eukaryota, Metazoa, Arthropoda, Insecta, Diptera, Culicidae.
AGAAUUUUUGCCUGAGUGUAGUCUAAAACUUCAUUCGGAUAGCAAAUGAUCCUUGACUUGAAAUCAUCCUUGUCAAUCUAAACAAAAACAUGGCGGCAGCAGCGGAACAUAGCAUUUCUUCUCGGAUUUCGCAGGUGACCAAGAACCGAUAAUCCUGGUUCGAUCCAGGGACAUUGGAGUGGAUAAUGUGGACACUUCCAGGAUGCUUCAAACAGCUAUAUUAAAGGCGGCUCAUUAGUGCGUGAAUUGUUAAUUGAUUUUUAUGUUGCCUAUUAUCAUCAAAAUAAAUGAUGACUUGUGGAAACCACCAA